UUGCCCUGAAACCAUUUAUGGAGAAUUUUUGCAGCCAUUGCAGCACAUUUUGAAGAGAAAGGCUUCGACUUGAGAUGGGUUGUUUCGCGACGAAGCUGGAGCAGGAGGGAGAGGCAGUGACCAUUUGCUGGGAGAGGAAGAAGCUGCUGAAACAAGCGGUUGAGAGACGGUACACUCUUGCGGAGGUCCACUUCAGGUUGCCAGGCUUUGGACGCGGUCUCCGCGGCCAUCAAGCUGUGCUUCGAAACCAGGCUACAGAGAGCUCAAUUCUAGCUUUGUGGCUUCAAUUCAAAGUUUUGUAGGGAAAAUUACUUGAAUGAUACAAGUAAUCGGCGAAAUCUGGACUGAUUCGAGGGAACCCUAAACCAGAGGCUCCGGCUUGAAGAAAGGAGAUUGUGUGGCAUUGCGACUUUCCGACCUCGAUUAUGAGGUUCUUCUGGCCGAUUUCGAUGAAAUCUGGAGUGAUUCAAGCAAAAUCGAGUUUGAAAAUGGGGUAGAGGAUCGAGCUUGGAAUCUGUCGAUGGCCACUGUGGCUUUGUUGAGUAGGAAGAGCACCCUACCCAACGGUCAAAUGCAAGAGCACCGACAGGGAAAAAAAAAAGAAAGGCGAAACAUUAGUCAAAUGUAUUCAGCUUAGGUGGGGCCCUCAACUGUGGCUUUGUUGUCUAUUUGUGAGUUAAAUUGAGUUGAGUUAACCGAAAAUACCCUUGCUCCUCAACUCUAUCCCUUCGCUGGUUUAACACCGUUUCCGCAAUCGCGAGAUGCCUUUAAGUGUGAAAUGUUUCUAAUACUUUUAAUAUUCCAAAAAUACCCCUGCCCCCUCCAACUCUACUCUUGGCUGGUUUAAGGCCGUUCCGGCAAUCGCGAGACGCCUCUGUUCAGCAGCUAAUAUAAGCAAGAAGGCUCCCGCCAGUCACGCCAGUGCCUCUCACUGCUUGCACUGCCGCCAAGUCCCAUUCCCGUCUCAUCCUACGGUCCGGGAUGGCCCAUCCAUUGUCUUGUCGCCGGUCUCAUACAUCCCCUGCCCUGUCUUCUUCACUGCUUCCUUAACUGUCGUUGCUCUUCUCCCGCCACUUUCACCAAUGUUGUGUCCCAUUGCUUCCUUCCACUUGCCAUCAAUCUCAUUGUUCGGACUUCCUCCGUCCAGCGCGGUCCCUUCAGCGCAACAAUUUCCUUCACUCCAUGUAUUUAUACGUCCCCCCACAUUACUUUCUCCGCUUCCGGCUUCUCCGACCAAGCACUCCGCUUCUGAUCCUUGUGCUGCCGCCCUCGGCACCGGCCUCCUCUUGGUCCAACCCACGCCUACCCGUCAACGCCACAGUGCUGAGGUUGGCUGCUUCUACCUACCCUACCACCGUGUACCCGCUCACCAAUUCGUGUCUUUUCACCGAUUCCCCAUCGUGCCUGCCUGUCCGCGGAGUGGUCCUCCUCCAUUUCUACUUCCCAACUGAUCCAUUUUUCCCCCCCUCAAGCUGCUUGAUCAAAUGCCUAUCACAGUCAUCCCAAUCUCUGCAGCGCCAGUUGAUCGAAUUUUACACCAAAUAGAUGAAGUAUCACUUCAAUUUGAUCGGCAUUUUCGGUUUCUACUAGAGACAUGAGUUGUCCUGUUGAAAUUCUGAAACACUUCAUAAAAGAAACAAAAGGAACUGUACCGACUUACCGCACAGGUACAUACAUGACCUUCCAACUUCUUGGAUUAGGCCAUUCUUUUGGAUCUGCUAUCCACCUAUUAAUUGGAGCAAGAAAUGCUGUGCAAAAAAAAUGGGAUCUUGUUGAUGCCAUUCGAUAACAAGGUACUUCCUUUUUCCUCACCUACACUUGUUUCACUGGCAGUAAAAGCCAUUUUUAUUACAUAUUACAUCAUCACCAACAGCCAGACUAGGCUAAGGAAAUGUACUCUGUUCUGCUGGUUUUCAUUAUUAAUGGGCUCUGGCAAAUAAUUCACCAGCUAAUAUAAGGUUUAAGAGAUCUUGUGGCAUGAGGUACUUUGCAAUGACGUCAAUAUACUAUACAAUUUUACCCAUCAUUUAUAAGGAUUUGUUCUUGGUUUUCAACUAAAGUUGAUCACUGUGAUGAUGCGCCCAAAGAGAGGGUGCCAUCAAUGAGUGUUGAUUAUGAGAUGACAAGGUUACUUUAUUCCAACUGGAUACCUUAGUUUAGCUAAUAAACUACACAUUUGUGGUUAUACUUUUGGAUUAUUCUAUUUACUGGAGUGAUGAUAAUAAUGAUCAUUGGUCUGCAUAAGAUCUGUAAGCUAUUGUCUUUUAAGUUUCUUCUACACUUGCUUCUGCCAAUGUCUGAUCGAACAUCUCAUUUUAUUAUGGUCUUGUAUGAAUCGGGAACUUUCACAAGAUGCAUCAUGGGCCCAUUACGUGCUUAUCUUUGGUCAAGAUCAGUUUUAUUUUAAAUGGUCUUACUUCAUGAAUCAGGACCAUAAAGGUAUUGAAUCUUUCAUCGGAUAAGUGCGCACCUAUGCUAAGGCCUUAAGAAUUGAUCGCUUUCAUCUUAUUCAAUUACUUUUACCAUCAGUUGAUGGCAGUUGUGCUUGACCCAAAUGGAAAAUUAAAUUGGUAUUAACACCGCCAUUUUCGCUUAGAUAGUAUUCUUCUACGCAUUGAAGAUGAUAGAUUAGGAGCUAAACUAUAUUUCAUAUUAUUUUAGUAAUGUAGCUAAUACCCAUUUGGUCAGUUUCUUUGUUGAUAGUCAAUAGUUUUCUCUUCUUUUUUUUUAUUAACUAUUAAUUUUCACUUUUUCUCUGCUGCUUGAAGGAACAUGAGUUGUGACUGACGCAAAUCGAUUUUCAUGGAUUGUUGGUGUCGAAUAAAUUCUUCAAGCGAUGAUGUUUCCAUUAUAAGGUAUUGCAGGGACAUCUUUAGGAGUGGGUUUUACGAUCCCAUCUUCUUUUUUCCUUUCUUUUUUCCGAGAGAAACAGAGCCCAGGCCCAUUCGAUCCCAUCUCCUACUGGAACUGGCGGGUGUUCACUGUUCAGUCAGCUCAUUGAUCGUCACAUGUCUCUGCAAAUCGCAGCCAUUAACCCUCCAAGCCCAUGCGACCAGCCUGACCAGAUCUGCUGGUCCUUAGAGCCAUCAGGAUUUUUUUCGAUUUCAUCAGCGCACAAUCUUCUUGCUAAAGAUUUCUGGGAUAAUGAGGGCUUGACCUGGAAACUCAUAGAUAUGGAGAUGGAGAGGGCCUCAUAGAAUCUGAAAGUUCCUUUGGAUUGCGGCCCAUAACCGACUUCUCACCAAUAGUCUCCAUGCUUCGUGGAACUUAUCUCACUCUUGCCUGUGCAGCUCCUGCAGUUCAGGGGUGGAGUCUUUCACUCAUGUGUUUCGGGAUUGUGUCUAUAUGCGAGCUAUGUGGGAGACCAUUGUCCCCCAGGUAUUCCGUGACUCUUUCUUCUCCCCUCCCCUCUUGGACUGGCUUACUUUCAACGUCCUCUCUAAAGAGGGUUCCCAUGCUGCCCCAUCUUGUUGGGCAAGUGUAUUUGCUAUCUCCUGUUGGUUAUUGUGGUCUUGGCGGAACGAGGAGCUUUCUGAACAGAAUUUUUCUUUAUGAAUGGCUGCUUCCUUCCAGCCGGCUUACAACGAUUGCUGUCAUUUGUUAGGACUAGUUAGGGCGUGCAAAUUAGGGGGCUGGAAGAUUUUGGGACUGCUCAGAGAUGUUACCAAAUCCAAGUCGAUGAUCCGAUCCAAGUUGGAAGAUUUUUUUUUUAAAUAACAAAUUAAUUCCAGGAAUAUCUUUAAGUCAUAGCUUCAUAUGUAUACAUGUCCAUGAAAGUAGUUUGGGUGGAAGUAGGCUAAUUAUUCAAACUCACUCAUUUUGGUUUCUUUGAAGUAGUUUGAACUCGAAUUUGUGCAUAUAGCAAUUUGUUAAUUUUGCUUUAAGAUACUGGAUUUGAGUAAUAUGCUUGAGUCUUGGUAUUCUUAUCAAUUUAAGUGAAUUAACGAGAA
This is a non-coding RNA of Punica granatum (pomegranate), 3950 nucleotides long. NCBI's taxonomy places the organism in Eukaryota, Viridiplantae, Streptophyta, Magnoliopsida, Myrtales, Lythraceae. The record is from RefSeq and is a predicted model, not a curated record.